AGCCUUUGGCACCAACACGCCUGGGAACCUUCUGACAUGAUUCGGUUUCUAUGAGCCAUAUUGGCUAGUUGAUAUCGCAAAUGCAUGUGUCGUGGUUCAUCUUGUUGGAGCAUAUUAGGUAUUCAGCCAGCCAUUGUUUGAAAAUUUUAAGAGCUGGCUUGGGAAGAAAUUCCCGGAGAGUGGUGUUGUACACGAG
This is a long non-coding RNA of Ipomoea nil (Japanese morning glory), 196 nucleotides long. RefSeq lists it as uncharacterized. The transcript is spliced from 3 exons. The record is from RefSeq and is a predicted model, not a curated record. NCBI's taxonomy places the organism in Eukaryota, Viridiplantae, Streptophyta, Magnoliopsida, Solanales, Convolvulaceae.